UACGUAGGGUGCGAGCGUUGUCCGGAAUUAUUGGGCGUAAAGGGCUCGUAGGCGGUUUGUCGCGUCGGGAGUGAAAGCCCAGGGCUUAACCCUGGGUCGGCUUCUGAUACGGGCAGACUAGAGGUAUGUAGGGGAGAACGGAAUUCCUGGUGUAGCGGUGAAAUGCGCAGAUAUCAGGAGGAACACCGGUGGCGAAGGCGGUUCUCUGGGCAUUACCUGACGCUGAGGAGCGAAAGUGUGGGGAGCGAACAGG
Molecule: ribosomal RNA, 253 nt
Filed under: uncultured bacterium
Lineage: Bacteria
Description: partial 16S ribosomal RNA
Rfam family: Bacterial small subunit ribosomal RNA
Source: RNAcentral